This 260-nucleotide ribosomal RNA is filed under the name Escherichia coli. RNAcentral describes it as "partial 23S ribosomal RNA". It matches the Rfam family "Bacterial large subunit ribosomal RNA", at positions 1641 to 1883 of the family's 2925-position model. Lineage: Bacteria; Pseudomonadati; Pseudomonadota; Gammaproteobacteria; Enterobacterales; Enterobacteriaceae. The record is from RNAcentral.
AUCGUACCCCAAACCGACACAGGUGGUCAGGUAGAGAAUACCAAGGCGCUUGAGAGAACUCGGGUGAAGGAACUAGGCAAAAUGGUGCCGUAACUUCGGGAGAAGGCACGCUGAUAUGUAGGUGAAGUCCCUUGCGGAUGGAGCUGAAAUCAGUCGAAGAUACCAGCUGGCUGCAACUGUUUAUUAAAAACACAGCACUGUGCAAACACGAAAGUGGACGUAUACGGUGUGACGCCUGCCCGGUGCCGGAAGGUUAAUUG